AAUUUCGACUUGUAAGAAAUAAGGCCAUAUUUGAUUUUUAUUCAACAUAUAUGUGUUGUUCAUGAAGUGUUGAUGUGGAAAUAUGGAGGAAGGCCAAGGGAAAAAUUGAAAAUUUCGGAAAUUAGUUUCGGGAAUUACAAAAUAGGACCCAUAACUAAUUGGGCUAGAAAAAUCAAAAAAAAAAAAAAGGGAAACAAAAGGCCCAAAAAAAAUAGUAGUGGCCGGCCAUGGGCAACAAAUGGCCCAAGCCCAUAACUAAUUAAUUCAUGUAGCAAAUAAUAAAAAGGGCCACCAAGUCCUCUUUUUCAAGAAGUGUCAAGAAAGUUCAAGAAACAAAAGAAAGAGAUUGAGAGCAAAAGGGGAGGGUUCGGCUAGAGCAAGAAGAAGAAAAAAAAAAUUCUUGAAGCUCAAAUCUUUGAUGCAAAAAAUUAUUUCUUCUUGAAUUCCUACUAAGUUCAAGACCCUCUUCAAUGUGGUAUAAUUUUUUAGGCAAGAAAGUACUUUUUUUAUCAAGUGAAGAAUUUGAAGAAAAAGAUCUUGGAGAACCCGAGACUUGAGUCGGAAUUUGUCUAGCGAGUGAUCGGGAAUUGUUAGCGAGCGAUUGAGGUAUGUAAAGCCUACCUUUCUUUCUUUUGGCAUGACCUUUUUGGAAUGAACAAAUAAUGUAUAAGUAUACUCCUAAAGAAAAUCCUAUUCUUAGAGCCACUAGGAUGGCUAACACCUUUGACCUCCAUAAGCUAUUCCAUAUGGCUGGAUACAUAUUUUAUGAUGUUCAAAGAUUCUAUUUGUUCUGUUCCGAAUGUUGUUCGAAAGAAAAAUGAGAAGACUAAAGCCUUUGAUGAAUAUUUCGAUAUGAAAAUAUGGUCUUAAAGUCCCCAUUUGAUUUGAUCCAUAAUGUUAUCCGUAAGUUUCCUAGUAUGAAUAUGUGAUCCAUAAUGAUGUCCGAAAAAUAUUUGAUAUGGCUAAAGUUUUGGAUACAUAUAUUUUGAUACGUACAUAUGAUCUUAAAGGCUCCAUAGUAAUGGUUGAAAGUUCCUCUAAUAUGAAUGUCACUUGAAUUUCCGAAAAGAGCUUCUGAAAUGCUUUUAGAAAGUUCUAUACUUCAAAAGUUUGUAACUUUCGUAUACUAACUCCGAUUGACCCGAAACUGAUUUCUGAGCCUUCGGGUGUAGUAAAUAUAUUUGUUCAUCGAGUUUUGAAAUUUAUUUAUUUAUAUGCAUAUGGUUUCCGCACUACUCCGCUCGUGCCUACUACUAUGAUAUCGUUCGCCGGUUCCCGGGCCGGUUUUGUGAUCGUGCGCACUAUGUUAUAUUCGGCAGUAUGAUGUGUUACGGUUCCCGAGACCUCGCCAUAGGGCCGGUUCCGCUUAUAUACGGUGUUAUGAUGUGAUAUGGCAUAUGAUGUGUUCUGAUGAUGUGAUAUGUUUGAUGAUAUGAUAUGUUCGGGGAUUGUACGGAGAUUUGAAACCUUCUGGAGUAUGAUGUGUUGUGGCACCAGUGUCGGAGUGGCGACCACGUUCCUGAGCCUUAUGCAUGAUUUUAUUUGCAUUAUUUAUGUUUUUGAAACAGGUACAAACGUUCGUUCUGGUGACCCGCCAGUGUAGGAUUCCAUAUUCUGCUACUUUGGAGUGCUCCCUUUAAUCGGAGCCUACAUUUUGGUACAUAUCUUUCGUUGUACAUAUUUCUGUAUAUUUGACUAUAUGGGGUACGGCGGGGCCCUGUCCCGUCAUAUGUUUCUGUUAUGGUUUGUAGAGGCCUGUAGUCAUAUAUGUGGGUCAUGGGUCCGGUUUGUUCGUUUCUGUUUAUGAUCUGUGCCUUAAGCGGUCCCGGUUGCUGUUAUGGCCAAAACGGCCCAUAUGUUUGUAUAUCUGGGCGAUGUGUAUUCCGCCAGCCUACCGGAUUUGAUAUGAUAUUUCUGUACGGGCAACCGCUUAAGAUGACAUUUGUUCUUAGUAUCUGUUUGAAAUAACGUAUGAUGAGUUUGA
Molecule: long non-coding RNA, 1984 nt
Organism: Lycium barbarum (goji berry)
Lineage: Eukaryota; Viridiplantae; Streptophyta; Magnoliopsida; Solanales; Solanaceae
Exons: 3
Source: RefSeq, a predicted model, not a curated record